CAGUCGCCGCGGUAAUACGUAGGUGGCAAGCGUUGUCCGGAACUAUUGGGCGUAAAGGGCUCGCAGGCGGUUUCUUAAGUCUGAUGUGAAAGCCCCCGGCUCAACCGGGGAGGGUCAUUGGAAACUGGGAAACUUGAGUGCAGAAGAGGAGAGUGGAAUUCCACGUGUAGCGGUGAAAUGCGUAGAGAUGUGGAGGAACACCAGUGGCGAAGGCGACUCUCUGGUCUGUAACUGACGCUGAGGAGCGAAAGCGUGGGGAGCGAACAGGAUUAGAUACCCGCGUAGUCCCUGUCUCUUAUAC
This 301-nucleotide ribosomal RNA is filed under the name uncultured bacterium. RNAcentral describes it as "partial 16S ribosomal RNA". It matches the Rfam family "Bacterial small subunit ribosomal RNA", at positions 509 to 807 of the family's 1533-position model. The record is from RNAcentral.